UUUACUCUAUUUGGUGCAAUUGCAAAUUUGAUUGUUUUCUUGAUUUCUCUUUCUGCUACUUCAUUAGUAGUGUACAAAAACGCAACAGAUUUCUGUGCAUUAAUUUUGUUUUCUAUAACCUUACCGAAUUCAUUUACCAGUUCCGAUAGUUUUUUGGUGGAGUCUUCAGGGUUUUCUAGAUGGGUAUUUACUUGUUGGGCAUUGCGCAGAAUGCUUCUGUGUCUCAUUACCAGCCUUACCAAGAAAGCCCCUAGGAAGUACGGAUGAAGCUGAAACUAGAAACUUAGACGGAAGAAAUAAGUUGUUCAAGUCUACGUUAACAAGUAAAGAGGCUAUACUAGAAUUUAGAUUCAAGCCUGUCUCAUUUUUUCGUCUGAGUUUUUUUUUUUGUUUGUUUGUUUUUUUUAAAGAUUUUAUUUAUUUAUUCAACAGAGAUAGAGACAGCCGGCGAGAGAGGGAACACAAGCAGGGGGAGUGGGAGAGGAAGAAGCAGGCUCAUAGUGGAGGAGCCUGAUGUGGGGCUCGAUCCCGUAACACCGGGAUCACACCCUGAGCCGAAGGCAGACGCGUAACCGCUGUGCCACCCAGGCGCCCCUUCGUCUGAGUUUUUGACCACUCUAUGUGCUAUCUUUGUUUAGUAGUAUGUGCUCACUAAAGGUUUGUUGAACAGCACGAUUGCUCCAACAGUUCGACUGGUCUCCAUUGUAUCACUAACCAUGAUGAAGGCAGCACCCAAACUCUUUUUGAAUAUUUACAGUGGUAGGCCCUGGACUAAGUGACGUACAUCAGUUAACCUAUUUAAUCUGCACAGACCAAUGGGGAAGAGGAAACGGAGACUCAAGAAGACUGAGUUGACUUGCCCAAGGUCACACAGCUGAGUAGUAGAUAGGCAGGAUUUGGUUGCAGGUUUUCUCUUACACAGUAUGAAUCUGUCUACUUGAUCACUGUAUUACUGUCUACAAAAAAAAAACCCAAGACUCAUUUUUGCCACUGUCCCUUGCUUCUUCCUUUCUUUGUCUACUCCUGCUCCUCCUUUUCCUUCUGAGAGGUCCAGACUGGGGCCCUCUUCUCAGACUGUGCCUGUCCACAUUGAACUCACUUUGCAAGAUGGGUUCCUCUGUUUAUACUUUCUUCAACUUUACUUGUUGGCACAUCCUCAUGUUGAAAUCGCCCGAUUAAGCUUAGUGCUCUGUGUACAAUAAUGGACCUAUUUGUCUGUCUUAUUUCUGACCAAAGGAGUUGGGACAGGGAGCCCAGAAACAGACCUGUAUGUAUCUGGACACCUGACUGAUGACAGGAGGCUCUGCUGCGCAGGAGGGAAUGACAGUCAUUUUAAUAAACAGUGCUGGGACCGUUGGGUAUCCAUGAGGAAAGGAGUGAAUCUUGACCCCACCUCACUUCAUACACAAGAGUAAAUUCCAGAGAGAUCAUCCCUCUACAUGUGUGGGUUAAGACAAAGUAAAACUCCAUCUAUGAGACGACACAGAAUAUCUUCAUAACCUUGAGGUAGCCAUACAUUUUUCAGGAAGACACCAAAAGCACGAGCUAUAAAGGGAAAGAUUGAUAAGUUGGAUGACAUGAACAUGAGAAACUUCGGAUCAUCAAAAGACACAUGUAACACCUAUAACUGGCAAGUGGAUUUGUACCCAGAAUGUGCAAAGACUCCAAAAAAUCCACAAGAAAAAGAACCCCUGCCCUCAAAAUGGGCAAAAGAAUGUCCCAUACGUCUAGGGCUAUGAGCUGGGUGGUUUUCCUCUCCUGGUUCCAGGUUUCAACCCGUUUGUCCCAGAUCAUUGGCACAACCUGGUGGCUGGCCUUGGGAACUCUUUAAUCCCAUGGCUCUUUCUGACAUUUCCCUUGUGUGUGGACUGUGGGCCCUUCCUUUUACAUGUCCUGACACACUCAGCUGUUCAUUCAGCCACAAGUACCUCCUUUCUCAUGAAGACGUAAUACAUAAGUCUCUUCCUCUUUUCCUUUGGGUUGUUAACUUUUGAUCAGCUAUUUUAAGAAUAUUUCUCUCCGGCUUCUUCCUCCCCACCACCCCCCCAACCUCUUUUUUCAUUUCCCUUUUUUGUACCUCCUUGUUUCGCCCUAAAAACUUGUGGUGGUAAAAGUAAUCCUGAAAUACCUGAACGUGUUUGGGGGACUGUUCUGUGGGGUCCUGAGGCAGAGCAGAGACUGGAGGCUAGUCGUGAGUUACCUCGAGGGAGAUUUCAUCUCCGUUAUAUUCUGCUGAGUUCUCCAAAGGUGGGAUGGGAGUUAGUGAACCAGGGUGAGGCUAGAUGAUGACUUGGUCGUCGUGUUGUUCUUGGAGGGCUCUGUGCCUUGGUGGGCAGCUGGGUGAUCGCUUCCAAUUUUACCGACAAAGCCCUGACAGACUCUUUUGAUGACGUGCAGAGUAGCAACUCGUAAGUGGGAGAGAGGGCCAGGGUAUUGGAAGGACUCUCUUGUCCUUCUGGGGAAUCAGGAUGAGGUACAAUUCUAGAGCUUUAGGGAUGCCUGGGUGGCCCACUUGGUUAAAUGUCCGACUCUUGCUUUCGGCUCAGGUUAUGAUCUCAGGGUUAUGAGAUCAAGCCCGUGUCAGACUCCGCGCUGGGCGUGGAGCCUGCUUAAGAAUCUCUCCAUCUCCCUCUGCCCCUCUCCCCCCCAGAUACUAGCUCUUCCAUGGUAUCAUGUAUAUUUAAAAAUAAUCCUCAAGCACCCUUCCAUUCAUAGCCCCCCACAUAGGGCUAGUUGAUGACCACUGACCUGAAGGCUGAGAUUUCUCUCACUUUUUCUCUCCAGUAGCGGCAUCUGUGAGGUAAAGCGCUCCGCGAUUAUAGACUUCCUUCCUUUAUUUUAUUUAAACCCUCCCUCUGGCAGUGCUUGCUCCCAUCUUUUUUGUGGCAAACGUAUCGUAUUUUGGAUACAUGACCACAAAGAAAACAAGUUGGAAGCUCUGCAGGUAUGUUUUGACUUUUAAAAGUUUUUGACGGUGUUUAAAAACUGAAAGUUUAAUGUUAAGUCUGGAAUUCUGCCUUUGUCCGAAAAACCGGGCGAUGUGGGCUCCUGGUGGCCUCCAUUCACAGAUGGCCUCAAACAGGCAGGGCUGGGAUGGGCUGCUGGUGAGGAGUGGUACACUCCUCCUGCUUGGCACAGGCCCCUCAACCUGCUUCACGCCUUUAUUAACCGCCUAGACCCCAAAGGCAUUGGGGUUUGUGACUGCCCGAAGUGGGUCAAGUGGGCUAGCCUGGGAACCCAACCAGUAUGUUUAAUGUUAUUUCAAUGGGAAAAUGAAUUCCAGCUUUUAAAGAGCAGAUUUUCAAAAUACCAAAAGUACUGGUUUGGGAAUGCUGAUAAGCUUCCUCAACUGGCAUGGCUAGGUCUUAGGGUGACGGUCUGGGUCUUCUCCUGUGCUGUGUAUUGGCUUAGCACCUAGAAGGUACCUGAUCAGUGGUUUACCUCCUGGGACCACUGGGUGCCUGUUGUCUGCUCCCUCCCAGGUGGUAAACCGAAAUAGUGUCUCGCUGUGGCCCCCCUGUCAGUUUACCUAGAACACCUACUCUGGCCCUAGACACUUGCAUGGAGUUUGAGGUCAGCCCCCUACACAGCUACCCUGUCUUGAGAAAAACAGUUUCUUUGCUGCUGAAAGCUCCAGGCCCUGUAAAGUAGGCCCGAAUGAGGAGAGGCGAGGACAGAGGCCUGCACUAAGCCUGCUUUCCUGGCGGAUGCCCACCAAACCAGAGUUUGUGGCGGUGAACAGAGUGAUUGCAUUCCACACCCUGGACAAGGACUGGGUAAAAGUUCAGCUCGUUCCCUGUAAAGAAAAUAAUUCUUCAUCUUUGGCAUUUCGUAGUUUUGACCCAGAUCAGUCAGAGGCCACAGAGAGCUCACGUGGUCUGUCGAGUGUGCGUAGCUUCCUGGGCCUGUCGCUGUGGAGGAGCCAAAGGGAGCUGGGGACCUGCUGGGCUCGAGGUGAAGCCCUGCCUUUUCAAGUUUGCCGUGGCCCAGCCACCCCGGGCCUCAUGGGGUGGACGGAAGGAGCCAGCACCUUCUCCUCGCUCAGAAGUUAUCUUUACCCCCGAAACCAAACACUGCAUGCAGCGCCCUGUAAAACUUCCUUGUAGACGCGAGAGUGCUUGCUAAGUAAACAUCCUCCCGUGUUUUUAGAACUGAAUUCAUUUCUGCUUCCUGGUCAUCCCAUUCGGGCUUUUCUGUGGUGGGUAUCGCACAGAAUCAGGUUAAUAGAAGAAAGACCGAGAGCAGGGACGGAGGCACCUAAAAUGACUGUUCCAUCCUAGGAAAAUUGUAAGAAGAGUAACACGGUCAUGGGAAGAAAAAGCAAAGACUUAGAAGAAAAGUGAAACGAAACAAAGCCUCCCCAAACAGAGCGCCAUCCUGACGCUGUGAAAGUCAGACUAGGGCCCAGCUGAGUCCCUGAAAUGGGGACCUUUCUCUGCACGGACUCAAGCUCCGUUGUGCCGUGGUUGGAGGCCACAGUCAGCCUCUGGCGGUAAAUUCCGUGGCUGCGUAUGGCCCUCCUCUGACCCUCACUUGCUCCUUGCUCUGUCUCUCAUGACUUAUUUGCCUCUUCUCUCUCACUUCCACCCACCCAUGACAUCUCCAUCGCCAUGGCAGUGAGCAGCCACGUCAUUCACCAAGUUCAUGGGGUGAUGGGCCAACUCUGCCGAGCCCUACUUCCCUCUGGUUCUCCCUCCUGAAGCAGGAGGCUCCCUGGCAGAGCUCAGAGCCCUUUGUUUAUUUGAUCCUGGGCUCUUGGAUAAAUCAGGAAUGUCCUGACAUGAACUUAGGCAUGUUUUUCUUCCAUGGAAAAGGAAACUACGGCAAACGGUAUUUAAGUAGGCAGAGGACCAUUCCGAGGGACUUGCUUUAGUGCCAUCAAGGCCACAUUCCUUUGGUCAUCAGACCAGUAGGUGACUUCUUUAUUGGCAUGCACUACCCCGGAGCCCAGAAGGUGUGAAUUUGAACCACUUUCCCCCCUGCUGGGAGCCUGGCACAGAUGCUCUGGGCUUCUUUUAAACCUGUGGAGUGCCACGGUCGUCUUCCAAGUGGUCUUCUUGCUGCGGGGUGAAACCGUGGCCCUGAGUAGUUGCCCGAAGAAGGCUGCUUGGGAAGCGCAGUGCAGGACAAGGUGGCCACCUGGUCUCUCGUUCUCAAGUCCCUUUCCCAGAAGUCGCAAGGUUCUUGAUGUGAUAUACCUUAUGAGUCAGCUACCCCAGGACCUGCGUGUGUCGCUCACUUCUGGUCAUGUCUAGGCUCACGUGGCGCCACUGGUCGUCAGAAACCGUUGCUGGUCUGCAUUCUUUGGACAUAGUGGUGUGGGGACCUGAGACUCCCUGGGUCUUCCUGGGUAUGCAGGGUCUGGUGAGUUGGCUUCCAACCUGCUCUGGAAACAUUUCUGGGUCGGGGGUUAGGAAAAUGCUGGGAGCUAUGUGCUUAGCUGCAGCGGGGACCUGUCCGUAUCCAAAAACAUCCCCAACUGGCCUUCAGAGCGCUGGUGGGAAAGCCCCGUCCCCGUGAGAGUUUCCAGGUGUGGGCAGGCCUCACGCCACCGUCACAGGGGCCGUGGGGGGAGCUGGCCAUUGCUCGUCUUGCCGGGCUGCCCACCCCGGGGAGAAGAACCCAGCCGUUGGCCACUCCAGGUCCAGGCUUGGCCGCUGCUCUGUUUUGCUGCUUUUCAUGUUGUCAGAGGAUCUUCUUGGGAACAAAUGACUCAGCAACCUGAAUCUCUGGGACUGAGUGGCCUAAGUGCCUUUCGAGAAGUGAUCGGACAUUUCCAGCGAGGCCCUAAAAUCCUGAGCCCGGAAAGAAUCAGGAUCCAGACUGGUUUUAUUCUGGAUUCUUCAGGCUGCCGUUCAAUGCGGUUUCUCCAGCUCCUGCCCCGAUAAAAGGAUAGCGUUCGUGGGCCUUGGCACUGCCCUCCGGCUCUCCAGGGGAAAAGCUGCAGUUCUGCUCUUGCAACACAAGGAGCAGACUGGAGAAUUUAGAUCUGCGUCACAGAGCUGAGAGAGAGAGAGGAGAGAGAGAGCGCUCCGUCGAUAGGUCUGCUAGCAACAGCCGUGCUGCAGCAGAGAGAGAGAGAGAAAUCAAGAAACAAGUCAUAGCAACACCGGGCACCAGGUUCUGCCAGCUCACUUGCCAAGCGUUCAGAAAUCUGUCGGGGGCUGGAGGCCUCUGUGUAGCCCGGGCUAAGGAGAUGACACGCAAGGUGGCACGGGCGGUUCCCGCGGGGGGGAGGUGGGUUGGUGGGGGGCAGGGGUGGGAGCAAGAGGUUGCGGGGCGAUGGUGGAAGGUUUAACGGGACCGAUUUCUGGAACAUUCGGGACUGCGGCACCCUACGGCCAGACCGAGAUUUGGGUCUGCGCAGGCAACGAUGGGUGGUCCGACGGGCUUCAGGACUUGAUGGCGUAACCCCCUUCUUCCCCCACGUACGUAUUUGCUGGGAUCGGGGGCGAUGUCUCUGCGUAUGUGGGUGCUCUGUCUUUCUCACCUUCUUUCUCGCUUUUUGCUAUUUUUUCUCUGAGAGGGUUUUUUUUUUUCCCACUUUAAUUUCUUUUCUCUUAGUGUCAGCUGCUCAAGCCUGACCGGGGUAAAGGAGAGAGGAGCAAGCUGUCCCUGGCGUCCCACCUGACCUCCCAGCCUUUGCCCCCAUUUCCUUCUGUUGGACAGACAGACAGACUGGUUUUCCAGGUUGUUUGGGUGUCAGUGUCUGUCUGUCCGUCCAUGCGAUUCUUAGGUGGAAGGUAGGGAGUGGGGAGAGAGAGGUGCUGGGAAGAAGGUGAAAGGCACAGUUUUCCAGGGGUCGCCUUCUUGAAAUGUUCGGCCCCGGGCACCUGGGGCUGGUGGGGAGCAGGUGGGCAGGAUGGGGCGUAGGUUGGGAGAGUGGGGUAAAGCUGGUAGGUUUGUCACUGCGUAGUUGGGAAAAGUGGGGAAUGGUGACGCAGUCACUGUUGCAUCUUGUUAGGAGCUCCAGGGGGACAGGUAGUGAGGCUCCCGGCAUCUGUAGGGCCAGCUGAGAGGGGUUAAGGAUGAGCUGAGAAGGGAAGCUAGCAUUUAGAGAUUAAAUGUCAUCCUUUUGGCGUUGGAAAGUUGUUUACCUUGCGCUCUCUGUGUCUCCAUGUUGGCACCUUUCCAGUUCACAUGUGAUGGCCUUCCUUGUACUGCUGCAUCAUUAACUAAGUGACUGAGCUGGCCUUCCAUUGGCCAGGGGAGGGCUCUCACUCCAGACUUUCUUCUGAUUGGUGGGUGGGCCAAUGGCAGGUGAAAACCUUUUUUUGAUUGGUUGAGGGCAGGGUAUCAAAUCUGAAUUUGCAUUUCACUUGCUUAAAGGGGAGGGGGGAGAAGCCCAGCAGCUUUCUAAAAUCUGUUUAGGGGUGUGCGUAUGCUCCUGUGUCUGUGCCUGCUUUUGACUGACCAGUUGAAGCCUCCUCUUAAGCCUUUUUCAUUUCAUGCACUCUAAGGAAGAGACGCUCAGGGUUCCCCAAACUUUUUUUUGAAGGAGGAAGGGUUGGAGAGAUGGGUGCGCAGAGGGUCGACCAAACUAGAAAGAAAUAUUUGUCCCUUAGUUUGGUGUCGGAAGAGGGAAUUUUCAAUCUGCCACACCUCAGUGUUGCGGCAAAAUAAUUCUUGGCUCUCCUGGAAAUGCACGGGCAAGGUAGGACAGAGCUGCUGCUGCUGACACUGCCACCACCAUGGGCUUCCUGCUGCCUCUGGGCUACUCCCCGGGGACCAGAGAUUUGCAUUGACGGGGCUGUCCAGAGCUGAGCCCAGUGUGGGAAGGACCUGCCUUCUGGAAGCUGCUGCUCCCUGGUGCUGGGAAAGGUACACGUCCGGUUCUUUCUCCGAGUUUAUUUCCUGUAUUGCUUACCACAAUGCUGCGAGGAGCGUCCUAUGGCUGGUAAGUGUUCUGCUCACGAUUGGAACCCCUAUUCUCCCAAAGCCUUUGCUUUUUUUUUUUUUUUUAACCUGUCAGUUCUCGGUAUCUGCAAAAUGCCUCUUACGACGUAGAUCCCCAAAACAUGUCUAUUUAAGGAAUUUUGUACAUCCCUAAUGCCAUAUGGGAGUUUGGGUGGCCGACCUUCCUGCGCCCGAGGCCUGGGUCUCUUAGUCAUUCUGUGCUGCCCUCCCUGCUACCUCAUUAACUUUCUCCUCUUCCUUUGCGGUCAGGUUCACGCAAGAUGAUGGCUUUUUUUUCUCUCUCUCUUUUUGGUAGCUGCACUUGGUGGAGUAACAAACCUCAGUUACCCUGGUCACCUUCCUCCCAGGGGAGGAGGAGGAGGUGGGAUGGUUGUAGCACCUUAGAGCAGAGUGAGCUCCAGAACGCAGAAUCGGUGGAUAUCAUACAGGGCAGGGAGCCGAGCCCUUGCAGUUGGACAGCCCUCGGUUUGCAUCUUGACCCCGCCUCGUCUUGCUGGGUGGUUUCUCUAAGGUUUCGUGACCUCAGUCAGUGACAGGGAGCCACUAGAAUCUACUACACAGAAGUGCCUAAAAUAUUGCCAAGCAGAUAGGAUCCCGGCAGAAAGUGAUGCACCUCCCUUUCCCCGGCCCAGCUGUCUUAUCAGGGUCCUGGGAAGGGAACAUAGCAGGUGGCUGGAGAAGGAAUGGGGGGGAAGGGAGCUUGCGUGGUAUCAGCAGCAGAGGCAAGGGAGGAGGUAAGCAGGCAGUACGCACCUGAAGCUGGCAAGGUGGUGCCUUUCCCCCACCUGGAAUAAAGACCCCUCUAAUGUCUGCGUCAGGGCAACGCCGUGGGAGCGGAGCCAUGAGGACAGGGCAGGUGGUGGCAGAGUGAGGGUUAACCAGUGGUCUUUCCUGGGAGCCUGGUGCUGCCAGGUUGGUUUCCCUUCUUUCUGAAUGGCAGCAGUGGCUGCCGGCUUCCUGGCGCCGUUGCAUCCCGUGGGAGGGGAGUUGGGCACCCUGAAGCCCCUCGUCACCAAUUCCGGGGCUGCAGAGCAGAGAGUGACGACAGCCCAUGAGUUGUCAGCCGACGGCAGUGGGGACCCUGGUGACGACUGCUUUGUUGUUUUUUUCCUCUUUGGAUGAUGACUCAGUGUGUCGGGAGCUGGGAGAUGGAGCGCUCAGCCGAGUGGCCAGGACGUUCUGUCAACAUGAAAGCAGCAAAAACAGCUUGUCAGGGCUUGGAGCUGACCCUGGGGCUGGGGUCAUUUUCAGAAAGGGCUUGGCAGAAAAGACCACUUCUGGGCAUUGGGUGGGGGUGACACCAGGUAUCCCAGCGGCGCUCUGUGGACUCUUGAAUUUUAGAAACCGAACAGAAAAUGCAGCUGCUUGUGUUAUUAUGAUGUGCUUGGCAAGCGGAGUCACUUUUCAAGCUCCUCUCACUCGUCCCCAACAAGAAGCAUCUUCUCAGGGCCAGAAAACCCUCUGGGAUUUCUCACCGUGGCCUAUUGCCUUGGAUAGAGGGUGAGUCUCAUCUUGGGUCGGGUGGGCCUGGCAGUCUUUAGUGAACCUGGCAUUCCGCAGCCCCAGGAGUAAGUGCCCAUCAUGGGGAUGUGGCGUCUUAAAUGUCCUCCGUUCACGUCGCAUGGAGAUGGUGGGUCCACAUCACCAGUCUCGAGCUGAAGGCCAGCUCUUGGGCAGUCUGCUUUAGCCUCCCCUUUCCUUAUUGUCCCAGAUCGAACUUCUCUUCUCCCCUUUCGUCUUCCUCAGUUCCUUCUUAGGAGAAAUAGUGGGCCUUGAGUCCUUGACCUUUCUGCCUGUAUAUAGGUGCGUCAUCAUGGCGGCUCAGGGUUCUAGGCUUUUCUUGAAUCUGCAGCAUUGCGCCAAGUGCGCGUGACAUUCCCCCCUUGCCCCGCCCGCCCGGCCCCGCCCAACCGUGCCCAACCAUGCCCAACCGUGCCCAACCAUGCCUUCUCGGGAGCAAGAGAGACCUGGACCUCCAUGGCCACUGAAUCACAGGCAAACAAACCAUUAUCCUCCGCAUCUGGCUUCCCUUCUCUCCUGCUCGCUCUCCCUCCGCCAUGGCUGGAGACUGAGAAGCAAACAACUUGUAGGUAGGGAUUGAGGGACGGCACAGCUUGGGACCACCCUGCCUGCGUACCCCUUGUGCCAUUUUUUAGGCUCACGCUUUCCUGUAGAUGAUGCUUCGCACUGACGUUUGUCACUGAGCACCUCCUCCUCUCCCCAAGGACCUCCCGGCAUGACUCAUGUGGGAUCUUUUCAGGGAGUGGCUUUGGGGCCUUGGGAGCCAGAGGGAGCAGGGAGACGUGGCUGAGGUCACAGUGGAGAGGUACGCAGGGCAAAGGACAGGAGCCAGCUGUCCCUGCCCAGAGCGCAGAGGCAGCCCCAGCUCCUUUGUGUCAUGUCUUUUUGAGCCUGAAUAGACAGCAACUUGACCUAAAAAAAAUUGUAUGUAUGUGGAUGUUAGAUCCUUUGUGUCUUUGUCCAGAAGCUGUGCAUAUGAUGAAAGCCCAGAUUCUGUACUUCAGAGAGCUCUGUUGUCUCUCAGAUUUGUUUUCCAAAAGAGGUGGUAGGCCCUCCUUGACGAGACCCAGUGCCCAUGGGGACUGGCCUUUCUUCAGGACGAAGGGCCCAGCCUUGUCUUGUUUCUGCCAUUGGCUGGUGAGCAGCAGCUGAGGGCCAUGGUCCGAGGGCCACAUGUCAGCGCCACACGGGACCCUGAUCGGGGCCCGCGCAAUUCAUUGCUUGGUUGGUUGGCCCUAAGAGCCAAGUCUACCUGUCGUCUUUUCGCCUCUUCCCCACAGAGAACUCAGAGGAGUUGAGCUCCAUGAGUAGAUGACAGCGUCUUGGAGACUCAGGCUAAGCUGAGGACGGAGCUGGUGUGCAGAAGACAGCCAUCAUACGGCCAAAUAGAAGGACCCGUUUGCAUUUAUUUGGAACAACAAAAAAAGGAGAUGGCUGUCCGCGUGGCUCUUUGCAGUAAGUACGCGUCUGCAUUCUCUCAUUUCUGCAAACAUCGGAAGCGAUAGAUGUUCACUGAACCCACCCAGCUGCUGUGCCUUCUCCUUCCUUUCCCCGCAGACCCCUGCCCCUGGUCUUCCAGCAGAAUCCGAGAUCGAUUUUCUAGUGCUGUUGGAGAGCUGCGGAGAGACUAGAUCUCAGUGUUUAGCCCCCGCAUGUCGCCCUCACGUUCAGGAGAAGUCGAUUUUCCCUCAAACGGAGCCAGAAGCCCAUGCCCCUCAGUGCAGUGUUAUUAAUGGGCCGACGGGAAGGGCCCAGCUUGCCCUCACUGCCCCCGGCAGGGAGGUGAGGCUCUCAGCUGGCUGGCUGGGGGAGGACGGUCCUUGCCAGCAUCUCGCGUGGUUCUCUGCCAAGUUCUAGCUCCAAAUCUCUAGGCCGCUAGGAACCUAGACUAUAUAUAGCGUUGUGCUAAGCAAUUCUUAUCGGACAUGUCUGCCCUCCCCUGCGGGAGAGGAGCCCUUCUCCCAGGGAACCGGAACCUCGAGAGUGUGAGCCAUCAUCUCCAAGGGGCCUUUCGUUCCAGGAAGGGCUGUGUGUCUGUGUCUGGUUCCGGAAUGCCAAGCUUUCUUUCCUUUUCCUUCUUUCAGACGCUGAUAGAUCAGAAGGUCUGAUGUGGGAUGAGGGCCAGGGGGGGCUGAUGAUUCUCGAUGAAUCUCGGGGCUUGGAGUAGGACAGGCUAGACGUUCAAAAUGUGGCCAAUGGCAUGGGGUGGCCUGUGUCACCCACCAGCCUUCUGCAUGUCUUCUUGGUUUCCUGUUUACCUUGCUUCGCCCAAGGAUGUGUUUUGACCUCUCAUGCUUCUUUUGGACCUCUUGCCUUCCCUGCCCUCCUCUACCCCUUCCUCCUCCUUCCUUUGACUUUCUUUAGGCUCCGUGACGGCACACGUGGCUAGGGCAUCCGGGAUCUGUGUCUGCUCUCUGCCCUCACCCGCCGUUGGGGCUUUCAGGGAAAUCUGCCAUUAGUCAGCCGUCCUCGGGAGGAAUUGGGGGUGACUGCGCAUGUCUUGCUGGGUGGUGGAGGGCACGACGGGCUGGAUAGUGGCCUCCACGCUAGGCGCUGUGGAGCCAGCAGGGUUGUGGUUCUGUGACCCCAAGUGCCUACUGAUGGGGACAGGAUCUGGUCUUGUCAGUGAACCAUCUCCAGGCUGCUUAUUGGAAACCAGAUGCUGUGAGAAAAUGGGAUUUAACCCCUUCCCUGCCUCCCAGGUAAGUCAGGUGCGGGCCGCCUCUUCUGGCCUUCCCUUAGCCCCCUUCCCUUCUCGUGGCGACCAUUUUCCUUAGUCAGUAGGGAAUCCUCAAACGUCUCCAUUCAGAAUCUCCCAAACAAUGCCCUCUUCUUUCCAUUCUCCUACUCCUGGCUCUUCUGUGAAUGGGGUUAGUAACCAGCAAGGGCCUGGGGGAAGGGCCCAUCCAAGUGAUCCGGCUGCGGCAUGUGGGGGGAUGGCUGGGAGCGUUGCUGGGUGUGGCAGUCGGCAGGGCAGUUGGGCCUCCCAGGGUGACUGGCCCAGAAGUCUCCUUGGCCCCCAACCUCCUGCAUGAGGUUCUGGGUUAGGGCCCCAUAGGUGCCGGGAGCCUGCGGGUGUUCCCUUCCUUGCGUACCCCAGUGGGAGGUCGCUCUUACUCUGGACACCUUUAGACUCGCUGGACUUUAGACUGUGGACUUGGUGCUGGACUUCAGGGCUCUUGCUCUACUUGGGGGGGGGAGGGUUGUUUUGGGGGGGUUUUGUUUGAGUGAAUCACUUUCUUCCUCUAGGUCCGCAUUGCCUUCACCUUAAAAAAAAAAAAAAAAAAACAAAAAAACUCUGGGUCUAGUAAGCAUUGCAUAGCGCCUCCAAGCAGUUCCCGUAGAAAUCUUUCUUUUUGCCUCACUUGAUGCUGGUCCCAGUAAUAGCAACGGUGAUUGAAAAUGGUGGUGGUCGGCAGCACUGGGGAGGUCCGUGGCAUUCUAGAGGCAGCUCAGCAAGCAGACGGUAGGCACUCGCCACGCUCCCUACCAGGGAAUCUCCCCUAUGGACUGCAUUCCUGCAGCGUUCUGGGUGAGCAGGGUCACGUUGGAAUUAGCCGACAGCAGAUUUGUCUGGGGUCUCAAGGUAAAAGGGAUGGUGCUGGGCAAUUUUAUGAUGCACUUGGCUAAUUUCCGGAGGCACCCGUGGGAUCCCACCUCUGCUCCUGUCUCAUGGAUGUCUCCCAACCCCCUUCCCGCCACUGUCCCGGAAGGACUGGUGAAUUCUGCCUGUCAGUGUUUUCAUCUUCUCUUCUCUUCCUCUGAGAUGAGUCUCUGAGUUGGCUGUGAGCAGCCUGAGGUCCUCACCGAGUGAGGCAUCCAGGGCUGUUGGGAAGAGUCCGGUGUCUCUGUUGGGAAGAGUCCGGUGUCUCUGUUGGGAAGAAUCCAGUGUCUCUUCCCUAAAGGAAUCUGACAAGUCUCAGCCCCUCCAGCCGUCAUGUAGGGAGGGAUGGCUAGGGGUGUUGGACCUGGAACACGAAUAAAGAGGAGAGAUCAGCUUUGGUGCAGCUGGGGAGAUGAGGAGGAGCCGGCCAAGUCCCUCAAGAUGUGUCAGCUAGAAUCUGGCCAGUGGCGGCUGCAGGGCCGGGGCCAGAUGGGGCUGCCGGCCAUGCUCGGGAGCCUCUGCUCCCGUAUGUGCCGUGCAGCCCUGGGCCUGGCUCAGGGUCACCGCCGUUCCCAUUCACAGCCCUGCCCUGCCCUUGGAGGGACUGAGAUAACGAGAGCAGGAAGCAGAGGGAAAGUUGGUCUGGCUCCCUGUGAUGUGGUUGUCUCUGGGGUCUCUGGUGUUUCCAGAAUUGGGGGUGGCCGUUCCCUGUUGAUUUUCCUUUUCUUGUUCCUCAUUUAGUUCUUUCCUCCCUGCUUACCAGCCUGUCUUCCACUGACAGGACACGGGCAUUACGUGUCACAAGCCAAGCCAGUAGAACAGUUGGUGUCCCCUGAGAGGGGGACCAGGCCUCUUUGGCACUUGGUUCUCAACCUUUGAAGCCCUGCAUCUGGGAGCCAGGAGGCAGUGUGGGGCCUUUCCAUCUGGGGUCCAGCAGAGGUUAACCGAGCUGGUGGCGCCGGAGCUGUGCUGGUGCAGCUUGGCCGGGAGGUGUUGGGGAGGGGCCCUGCCAGGGGACCUGAUUGGUCAGCACCUUCUCUGUUCCACUGAAUCCUGGUCUGGUCAGAACUGUGAAUUGUUUAAUGCAUAUCUUGGCUCUGUCCCCUGGCACGACGGCCUCCGAGGCUGCCGCCCCAGCUCUAGAGAGGAUGUGUACCUCGUGCUGGCCACUGUUUUGGGCACGUUGCCUUGCUGUGAGAUAUGUAAGAGAUACUGCCUUUUCCACUAGCCGGCUGUCCGUGGGAGGCCCUCAUUUUGCUUUGCUUUUCUGGGCCUUGGAGUGUCUGUGAAGAAAGCAGAGGCUGGGUUUGGUUUCUUGCUGGCUCCUUCCGCAGGAGCUGCUCAUGAGCUGAUAAAGCCACAGAACACCUCCAGGCCCCAGGGUCUGAGCAGAGCCUGAUGCAGGAGUGUGGAGCCUGGGCAGGAGGGAGCGGGGGCCUGGGGUUGGAGAGAAGCGCUCGGGGAACGGUUGUGCAACAUCCAGCCACAGGAUCAGGGCCAGGAGGUGGGCGGUGGUGGAGGGGGGUAUGUGUCUCGUGUUCAGCCUGCAUGGCCGCUGCGGCCUGGAAGGGGCCUGUGUGUUCAUGGAGCCCAGGUCAGGGUCCGGAAUGAGGCGAGAGGGUGUGAGACCGGCAUCAGUGCCCUCAGUCCCAGCGCACAGUUCCAGGGAAGGGAACUGACCUUUGUUAAGGGUCUCCCUUUGCUUCUCUGAUUUCAUCCUAAAGCAACUAUGUGAAGUAGGUAUUCCUUCCCUUCUCCAGUUAAAGAAGUGGUCCGUACUAGGUGACUUCACCAACGUCAUGCACUUGGCCCCUGGGAUUGCCGAGAUUUAAACCUGGGCACUUUGGAUUCCAAAGCCUGUACUUUUUCUUCACCCUCUUGGGCUGAAGUCAGGCAUUUUGGGGAGCUAAGACCGUCUGAGAUGAGGCAGCCAGCAGAACGGAUGGUAACCAGAGUGAGAGGCCAGGUAUCUCGGGGAAUGGGGACCGUGGCAGGCAGUGGAGACGCCGCCACCACAUCCCUCUCUGGGGAGGCGGGGCUGAGCAUGGCGAAUACAGCCCUUCUCCAAACACGCGUUCAGCCCCUGCUGUCUGCCAGGGACCGUCCGGGGUGCUGCGGGUGCAGGGCUCAACAAAACCAAGCUUCUGCUCUUGCGAGGUGUACUUCCUGCUGUGGGGGGAGGUCAUUCAUGAUGGUGAGAAAGGGAAUUGGGAAAUAUGUAAAGGAGACAUAGAUGGAAAGGGGGACACCCACACACAUUAGAAGGACCCAGGGAUCCAGAUGGUGCUCACGGAGGGAAUUUAAGAGGCGGGGGAAGCCAUACUGGUAGAGCGCCCAGAGUUCACAUUGCUACAGUUGCUGACCCCUCUCUUCUCCUGGCAGCUAGAAACUCACCCUAGGUCCCCACAGCUCAUGGGGACUUGCAGUGAGUCAGGGAUCAAGCUGGCAGUAGACGUCAGGCCUCUUGUCAUCAGCAGAUGAAGGUUUUUCCAUCAGCCACCCUCCCCAGGUGCCAGCUGGCGUCUCUGGCUCAGCCUCGACGCGGUGCCCCCUCUCGUCCACACAGACGGGAACGCUCGGGUUAAGUCUUCAUCAGGUCACUGGUAAAGUAAGUGCCUGCCGGAGGCGGAAGUUAGCCCAGCCUCUCCUGCCAUGUGGUUCCAGCAUCCUCCAAAUAACGAAGGGAUGGGGGCAGGAGAGGGAGGAGAAGUCCCCUUGUGCCAGAGGCUUGGACGAGCUGGGUCUUGAGAGGUUGAGGCGGGUUGGUGGCUGGAGGUGUUUCCAGUGUGUGCAGCUGCUGGGCUCAGGGCUUGUUUAUCGAGUAGAAGCAGGUCUCGUGGUGAGUCUGGCCAUGUGAUUCCUCCCUCUUGGGCCCCGUGGUCGAAGCCUGGCCCACCUGGACCUCAGAGACUGCCACCUGCUGCUGGGGGGCGGGGGGGGGUUGCUGAUGUCACACAAGGAUGAGGUGUGGGUCUUGGGGUGUGGUUGUGGGUAGAAGACUCAGCAGGCCCACGUUCUGGCCCCGGCUCCCUUGUAAAACCUCACUCACUUUUAUCUCUUUGGGACUCAGUUUGGUUAUUUAUAACAUGAGGGAGUUGAACCAGGAUCUUUCUGAAGGUGGCUGCCAGCUCUGACAUGAGGGCUGCCUGGAUGUUCAUGGAGGUAUUUCUUAGAAGCCUGAGAAUGGCUACAGUCUCAUCUUCUGAAGAGAUGCUGUCACCAUCAAGUCGGGAAGGCGGAUGGAGACAGUUUUCCAGGGACGCCCCCCCCCCCCCCCGGGAGUGAGCGGGAAGCAGCCAGAGAAUGCAUGAAAGUGGCUGGUGAAGGUUAUCCAGGUGACAGAGGAUGUGGCCUCCGGCUCCCACCCAGGGGCUUGGCUGGAGAUGGGCCGUGUGGGAGCUUCUGGGGGCUCUCUGCGCCACAGGGGCUGGCUUGAGAUGCCACCGUGCUCUAGGCAAGAAGUUCUGUCCUUUCUGGCCCUAAAUCCUGGAGAGAACAUGGGACUGCGGGUCCUGUGUCCCAGGCCUGCCCUGCUCAGGAUCUGUGCCCCUUGCUGUCAGGAAGUUUUCCUUUAUAUUUAGCCAUCUUUUCUCAUGUGGUUGUUGAAGCUCUUCUUUUUUUUUAAAAAAAAAGGGGCGGGGGAAAGACGGGUGAAAAGAAAAAAAACAAAAAUAUCUCCAAGCCACCGUUCCAUUUUGACUUUUUAGUUUUGAGUCACUCUUUAAAAGGUAGCAAAACUAAAGCACAUGCAGGCAAGCUCAGGGUCCCAGACCCUCACAGGCCAGCCUGGGGCCAUGGCGACCUUUGUCCCCAGCGUCCAGCAUCCAGCGCUGCGUGGGCGGGGGGGCCUCUGGGGCUGCAGGCACCCACUGCACAAUCCGCCAAACAGAACGCAGAGUUUUAAAAUUAACAUUUCAAGAUACUUUCCGCGUGCUGUUUUGCUGAACUCUUCUUACCUGGGCCUCGUAGUUGAGAGCCCAACACCUCCGUCCCCCAGAGUGGUGUGGCAAACAGGGCUUGGGGCUAGGAUUGAGGCAGGAGCCGAAGUGAUUGGUGACCAGCGUCUUGCUGCAUGCCACACAAUGUUCUGCAGCUCUUUUCAGAUUUGCUGGCUCAUUUGGUCCUCACACUGCCUGUGAGGGUAGGUGGUGGGAUCCCCACCAUCAUUGAAACUGAGCCACAGACAGCCCUGCCAGGAUCCACUUGCUUGUACCUGUCGAGUUUGGAUCACCCACCCAGGUUCCUCGACUCCAGAUGUCAUUUCCUUGGGUUUUAGUUGUUGUUCAACUGACCAGUGGGGCAGGGAUGGGGAGGGGUCUUGGGCAGCUGACUUGAUCUCUGUAGGUCACAGAUCUCUCUUUUACACAUGAAUGGGGAAGGGAGCCUCAGAAUGUCCAGGUUCUCCUGUUCUCAGAUUCUUUCAGCUUCUUGGAGCUCUUGUGAAACCUGGCUUGCACUCCUUGGCCAGGAAGCCAGCCAUUCACCAUGUGUUUCUGGUGAGACUUCCUACAUUUGGAAGCUUCUGGAAUUACGCAGUGCUUCUCAAACCAUUCCGACACAUUUGUAGGGCACUUCAUGCAUGUGCAUAUAGUCCUGUUUCAACCAAGUAGCCACUUAGAAAUGAGGCUUCCCUGUGGGAUCUGUGAGAUUUUUCCCAGCAGACAGGUAAGGUAGGCCCAGAGUUUGCCCAGCAGGGGCGUGGCAUGCAUGUUAUCUGUUUGCUGGCUAGUGUACGUACAGCCCCCUGGGAGAACCGGCUAACGGACAGUGUGAAAUAUUGGAGCCCCCGGCUUCAGCUCUGGAUAUUGCUUCCUGAUAGAGUUGGAAAAGUAGGCCUAGGCGGCAGUGUUCCCGGAUCCUGAGUGGAAGCCCACUCUUCAUGAGAGUUAAGGCACAACUCAGACUGCACGUCAUCGGCCGUGCAGCCCUCUGAGUGGCCUUUAUUCAGAGAGACCCAGGGCCUGUACGAAGGGGCAGAGAAGUGUUCGUCUUUAUUUAGAGCACAUUAACAUGAGAUGGUUUAGGCUCUCCUCAGGGCCUGGAUCUCGAAGCACUGGGGUUGGACAGAGUGGCAGCGUGCGAAUGUCUGUCCGCUUGUAUUUCGUAGAUGUAGGCUUGGCUCACAGAGAAGCCCUGUCAUGGGGAGUCCGCAGGGCAGUUGUUUUCCUGGACAAAGCCUUUGAUAAGUUUUGUGUGAAGAUUUGUCAUAUGGCACCCAGAUCUUUCUGCUCUCCCUGAGGGUGGGAAGGAGGAGACAGAACGUACAGCCGGGAGGUGAUCUGGGCCGGACCUCAGGGAGAACUGUGGGGGCCCAUUUGCUGAGGGCUCCCAAAGAAACACAGAGCCUCUUUAUCUGAGAAGAGGGACUGGAUGUCCCUGACAAGGUCCCUCCCGUCCCAAGUCUGUGGGACUCCGAGACCGUCCCUGGAACAGCAUGAGCUUUGGGUGCCAGGACCUAGAGUAGGCGCCGUCUUUUCUUUCCGCCUCGGAGGCAGGCCUGACCUGGGUGGGGGCAUCGGGCCUGGAGCUCUAACCUUGUUUCAUCGUGCAGAGAGAACUUCUGGAACUGACCCUCUAGGAUUGACAUUAUUUGUAAAUGAAAAAGAGGAGAAAGCCACAUUGUCCCCCAUCGCUGUCCAGAAAGAGCCCUGAGCUGCUCUAACCCUAUAUGUGAACCACUGCCACCAUCUACCCUUGCUGAUUCCCCCAGCCUGAGGGAGCUUCGAGAGGCACUGGAGAUGUGAAGGAGUUGGAGGGUGGGCCAGGGGGCAGGGACAGAUAGGGCUUGCUGGGAGGGGGGAGGAGAUGGAAGAGGACCAUCUCGAGGCAGGUCUGCAGCUCUGGGAACCUCUGCACUGCCUGCCGUUCCGAAGGCACACGUGGGUUCACAUGUGCAUGCUGUUAAUUGGGAACCCCAAAGUCUGAAAUAAACCAGUUAAUGGCUGAAUGAGGGUUGCUUUCAUCUGGAGAGUCGUAUGUCCUUUUGUGUAAUUCCUGUCUGCAGAUUUAGCGUCUGAAGUCCUGACAGGUUAGGGACCUUUCCUGGGCCCUCCCGUCUGUAAGAUCAUGCUUAUUUUAUAUUGCUGUUCUGUCCCCUCUCUUUCUUCUUUCCCACUGUCACACAAUCCUUAGGAACAUGUAACUGUUUGUGCACUUGUGUUCCUAUCUCCUUGGGGUACCAUUCUUCCAGGGUCUCUGACAUUAUCGAAUGUACCGCAUUUAUUUCAAAUGUGAACAGACCACAGGCUCACUGCAGAGGAGAGCCAUCUCUGAGAUGGGGCAGCAGCCCCUAGAAAUCUCCUCUCCACCUCAUCCUGGAGCGGGUCAUCCGGAGCCCCGAGGAGAGGAGAUCCAGGGCAUCUUUGCUCGGCCCAGCUCAGCCCCACGUCAUGCCUUCUGUUUGGGGUGGGGUUGGCUCAGGCAUGAAUCCCCCACCCCCAACACUAUUAGCUUUCUCUUCUUUUCAGCUUGAACCCUGAGUAGUGACCUUGAAAGUCCGAGACCCCAUGUCACCUUGCUAGGUAAGGAUGACAGAGAGAAACAGGGACAGAGGGGAAAGGAACCCAUGCUCCUGGACACUGGCCUCUCUCCAAGACAGGUGAACUCUGUGUCCAGAGAGGAACUCUCUGGCCCUAAUGAAAGUUGUUUGUAUUUUCUCUCCCUCGCUCCUCUCUCUCCUCUCUCUCCCUCAACGCCCCCGCCUCCACCCUCCAGCCUCCAAAAGAAUGUAAUCUGCUGGACAACAAACAAUACUGUUAUAAAACUUCGAAAACAAGAGGGUGAGGCCUCCCUGACAAGGAGAAGGGCAUGCCGGGUAACAGCCGAGGAGCCUGCCAGGCCCAGGAUGGAGCCGGGCGAGGGCCCAGUUGGCCGGGUACCUGGGCGCCUGCCCCUGCCCAGCCCACCAGCCGAGCCAUCCCUAGUCCAGAGGGGAAGGAACCGAAACAAAAGCAGAGGCAGAGAAGCUCCCAAAAAGGGGAAGUUGUACGUGUUCCCCUCUCUCUGAUCUGAUGGGAGUGUGCUAGACUGUGAAACUUCCUCCCCCAGCCCCGGCCACCUCCCUUCCCUUCACCCUCCCUCCUCCUGCCUCCUCCCACCACUCUCUGUUCCAGGUCCUGAGACUGGCAGGCCAGGCCCCGAUAACAGAACAAGGCUGGCCCAGCCGUGUAGGCACAGCCACCGGCUGGCCAGCUGCAAGGGAGGCAGGCAGGAAAGGUGCCCCCGGUUGGCUUUGGACUCUGGACAUACCCUCUGUGUGCCUAGCCUUCCUGCCCACAACUAGGAAAGUGGAACCACGUCAUGGGCUGUGUCCCAGUCCGUGUGCUCCACCAGCUGUGUGCCCAGGUAUCAGGUAGAGCCGCCACUCGGGGGUCCGACGGUCUGCCCCCAGCGUCCUGGUGCCUAUGGGGGGUCAUGCUCCAGGGAGGCUGAGGGUCCUGGUGCCUGCGGGGACGUGGGGGGUUGCUUUCUGUCCAGGAGGAGCGGGGGCUGAGCUACAGAGCCCAGGAGGCUCCAGGCAGGCCCAGGGUCCUGUGAGUGGGGGGCCUGGUGGGGUACUGCGUCUGCUGGUUCCUCUUGGCCAUUGAGUGAGUGGGUGACCCAGCUCCGCCUGGGGGAGGGGGAAGCUGGGCUCAGGGACAUCUCCCUCCAUCCUGCCCAGUUAGAUUUACCUGAGACUGAAGUUUCACUGCCACAUUCAUCUUGACUGCUUUGAGCACAUGGUUUGGGAGUGAUGAGGGGAAGAUGGCAGUUGUCUGCCUUUGGUUGGGGGUUGUGCGGACCCGUGAACUGGGUGGUGGGUAUUGUGUUUGUGUGAUGGGCUAUAGGCGUGCUCGCUUUUCCUCUCGUGGGAAGCAGUUCAGGGCUGGGCCCAUCCUCCUCUGCCUGAGCUAAGCCACUCUCUGGGGAGAUGUGGGGGCCCCCAUGUUUCCAUCGCUGCUCCAUCGCUCAUCCUUCUCUGUGCUCCCCACUGUCUUCUGCUGCCCCCCACACCCCACGGCUUCCCAGGGCAUCCCAUCCACCCAGCCAGCCAGCCAUUCCGACCCUGGGCCUGUGCUGAAUCUGGGAGAUUUCCAGAUUUAGGUCUUCAUUGGUGGUGUCGAGAAGGGACAGAGAACCAAACUUCGUGGAAAGCAGCUUCCUGAGUACUUAGGCCUCCGUACACCUGUCCCAGGGAAAACCGGAGUUGCUGAUGCUGGGCCCACGUGAGCAGAGAAGGCUGUUACCUGUUGCCCUGUUACCUCCACAGGCAUGUGAGGGGCUCAGCGGGUCUCGAGCACGUUAGUCUCACUUCAGGAUCCAGGGUCUGAGAAGUGCUCUGAUGCCUGGGUGCUUGAGCCCUCCUUUGGUGGGGGGAGGGGGGGUGCGGCCCGAGCGGCCAGGAAAACAGCCAGCUCCACGUUCUCCUCCUCCCCGGCCCCCCAUACACAUACCCUUCAUUUUAUCACCCUUUCCUCUGAUUCAUUAACCACAGCUAGUUGGCACCAGGCCCCACCCUGACAGCUCAAGACAAAAUGUCCGGGACACUGGCUCUGGCCUGGGGCCGAGUGACAGGAAGCUGGGCCGGGCCUCUCCAUUUGCACAUACAAUGGGGCUAGGACCGUCUGCGAGGCAGAACGGCCCCCAUCUUCAAAAGGGUCUUCCCCAGGCCCAUCUCUCACCACGGUGACUCUUCCUCACUGCCAGGAGCCUCGAGACCAGCAUUCCGGGUGGCAGGAAGACUGUGAUCUGGGCUCCACUUCCGGCGCCCCUCCCCCGCGCUGCUGGAGCUGGCUUCAGUCAUGUAAGUAGCCGUGACUCAGCACCCAGCCCGGUCGGAGGGAGAAGCUGCUGCCUCGGGAACCUUCCCAGCGUUCUGGAUUUGAACACGUCGUGGUAACAUAGAACGAGCCGGCAGCAUCAGCUUCCCGGGGGUGCGUGUCUCUUGGCUCCGUGGGUUUGCUUAUGGAUCUGAUAAACCAGGAUUCCUCCUCUCCUUCCCGUUUGCCUCCCAUGUUAUUUGUGGGCACCAUGCCUGGCAUGCGAUUUUUAGGACUUUAAAAGACCCAGACAGCAUCAUUUCUAGAACGCAGCAGAAGCUCUCUUUGCAAUCUCCAGACUGUUCUUUAACCCAUGGCCCAUGAAUUCUGUCUCUUUAACCCUCAGAUGUUUUUGUUUGGCCCGCACAGAGUUUUGUUGAUUUUUUUUUUAAUGUAUCUGAUUUGCAUGCCUUUAGACAAAACGCAGCCUCUCCAGGUCACUGUAGUCCUGCUUCACGCUGUCCCUGCUUCUGUCCUGUUUCCUCUCCCAGCCCUGGAGCAUUUGAAUACCCUGAGACCAGUCCUUGUAAGCCGUCCUUCUUUUUAGAAGAACUGAGGUCCAUUCCAGGAAAGUGCAGGGCCCUGCUCUCAGAGUCUGGCCGAGCAGGAAUUACAGCCACUGUGUUCUGAUUCACUGUGUGGUGACCUUUCCUCCACCCUCGGUCCCUUCCCGGGCAGAGGAGUGUCCUAGGCAUGAGGGGGUGGAAAAACCUCUAAAUAGAAUGUCUGCACAGGAAUGGAUGGGGGCCUCAGUGUGCUUCCCAAACCGUCUUCCUGCGUGGUGACACCUCCCAGAGCUGACAUAGCCACCCCUCCAGCUGGGCGGUUUUCCUUCCUGGAUAGUGCACCAAACCCUUCCCACUGGCCAGUUUGCAUGGGGCCAGUAGGCCAGGCUGGGUUGAUCACCAUCUGCUUUUGACAGCAGAGCCCUGGCCGGCUGGGGCUUCCCCAGGCUGCCCUCUUACAGAUCCAGGUGGCCAUCGAGCUGGGUGCCAGGGAGAGCGAGCCCCUUCCAGCUGUACCCCACUAAGGAACAAAAACACCAGCUGGCUUCAGGUAAGUGAGUCAUUGCUUGGCAGACUUUGUGAGAGAAGCCUGGUUCUUUUGGGAGCCCUGAGACCUGCAUGGACUCUUGUAUCCAGUGGGGUUGGAGGGGCAAAAUGUUUCGAUACUAAGAUGACUUUCUCCCCCUCUUCUUGUGUUUGAGUGUCUGUGGUGAUGUGUUAGGAAUGAUGUCUCUCUUCCUCCGAGAACUGAGUGUCGUAGAACUCAGGUGCUGCGAGCCCGAACUCUGGGUCAUGGCCUUUAGUUCCCUCAGUGACAGUUGCUCCCCUGUCAUGUGCCAGCUGCCCCCCCCCACCCGAACUCUGGGCUGAUGCUCCCUGGGUAGCAGGAGAGACAGUCAUUAAUCACCCUGAUGACCACAUGACAUACAUGUGUCCCGAAGGACAAGAACUAGGUGCUGUGAGAGGGUGUAACCCAACGCCGCGCUCACCUGGGGAAAGAGUCAGGUGACCUACAUUACCUGGGGCAGGGUUGAUGGGUGGUAGCUCUGGGAAGGUGGACAGAGAAUGUUCCAGAAAAAGGGAGCAGUGUAUGCAGAGGCCUGCUGGGGAAGGAAGGGGGCCCUCUGGAUCACUGAAAAACACCUGUGUAACAACACAUUAGGAAAGGUUCUGUGGAUACUGGCUGUUGGAAGUUGCUAAGAAGGAAGAGUUCAGCUGGAGUCAAAAAGGCUUUUGAAAAGCUGAGAAGGACCAAAUGUAGAGCUCUGACACCCUCAUUCUAUAGGACCCCCUGAAAAUGACUCUCAUUUACCACUUACUUCUUGACCUUACCACCCUGGAAGUUACCUGCUUCCUGGGACCCAGCUGUUGAUGGCCGGUGUCCUUGAUCAGAGCUACUGCCCUGUUCUCCUCUCAGUGGCUGAGGCCGUGCAAAGGCCCUGGGCUCCGAGCCCAGUGCUGGGGUCAGAAUCUGGAGUCCAGCACAGGCCUGUGGGCGGUUCAUCUCCAGCGCCUCUCCCCCCACCCCCCCAGCCAUGCUCUGGGUGCAGAAGGACACAGCAAGCCAGCUCAGAGCACUGGGCCCCCUGCAGACCCAGCUGGGCUCCUGUCUCAACCCAAGUGAAAUGUGUUGUCAGCCACAUCCAUGCAGAAGCAUUGCCUAGGACCACCCCCGGCCCCCAGCCUUGCUCACAGUUGAGUUCAAGAACAGAAUGAGAUGAUAGGCCAGCCGGGGAGAGGCCCCGCGGGCCAAGGGACAGGAACAGAGACUGUGGAGCUAGCUCUGGGGUCUCACCAUGUAGUCGUUGUGUGACCGUGGGCAAGUCACUGUGCACAUUAAGGGGCAGCUUUUCCUGCAAGCAGGGAGUAGUACGUGCUUCCCGGGGCCGACGCAGGUGAAGAGCACAUCUCAGUGUUCACACUUCAUUUCCUCCUCUUUCCUGGACUAGCUGCUCUUUCCAGGAGCCACAGUAAAGACAGGCCUGAAUCUGGAGGCCCCCCGAGCUGGUGGGGAGCCCGCAAGGUACACGUUCGAAUCUGUCUCCUUUUUCCCUGCUUGGGGCAUCCCGGGGAAAUACAGACAUGUCUUCUCAGCGUUCAGACAACCAAAACCGAUGCAUUAAGGAGAUGGGAAAUCUAAUGUGAACACAGGAUGCAAAUCUUAUUUUCAGACAAAUUCUGAAAACCACACACCAUUCCGUUCUUGUGUUAGAGGAUUAUCUACUUAACCCAGUUUUAGGACACCCCAUUUUUUGGUGUCACAGCCGAGGAUAAAUAAGAUUGCCAAGGUUCUGAGCCUUACAUAAGGCAGGGAAGGAGGAGCCCCAGCUCUUUCUGAGCAGGGCGCACGGAAGGGUUGCCCAGGUCCGCAUGAAACACCCCUCCGCGUAGUAGCUAGAACCUCAUGGGCAGAUAGGGGGCUUGUUUCCUGAUGACAUGAGAUAGGAUCGGAAAACACUGUGCAUACUGUGAGAUAUUUUAUAAAGCAGGGCAGUGCUAAUGAGGCUCUCAAUGCAUCUUAAUAAUAGCUCUGGGAGACUUGAUUUUAUCCUAUAGAUAAUACUCUGGUAGGACCAGUUGUGGAAUUAAGCAGCACUAGGGAGACUUCCUGAGUUGUGUAUCGCCACCGGGUGUGCGAAGCCUCCACUGUGACACCAGCAUCCUCGAGCACCACCGGGGAGCUCUUCGCUGGGCCUUUCUCACGGAUGGUGAUGUCACCUCACAAGUGGAACCACAAGAAGGCCUCCCUCCCUCCUCGGGGUGGAGCCUGGGUCUUCUGAUGGCGUCUUCCUCCUUUCUUCAAUGAGAUUCUCUUCUUCUGGAAGCUGGUUUCACAUGGUGGCUUAGAUUUUUCCAUCUUUGUAUCUAGCACCAUUUGAAAUCAGUGUUUUAGGAGUAAGAAUUGCAGCGCAGCAAAGGGCCACCUGCUGAAGAGCUUCUGUGGGUGGGCCGGGCACCCGCCACCUCCCCGCCGCCUGAGCUGGCUCAAGAAAAGAAGGCCUUGCAAAGGAGAAUGCACCCCAGCAUAUGUGGGCUGGGGAGGGGGUGGUGGUUAAAAGAGCCUCUGCAUCUGAGCAGGGACAGAGGGGCUUCCAGCUUGCAGCAGCCCCCGGGGCUCACCUGCCCAUUGGGCCUUGGAGCGCAGAGAUGGGGCCAUUCAGGGCUCGACUGUACCAGGGGAGGGGUGAGGCUGUGUCCCCAGAGGACAGUCCCAUUCGCGUCAGCACCGCACCUGCUCCGGACGCCCCGGAACGUUCCGCGGCUGUGGCAGUGCGGCUGGACUGAGACUCGCCACCUGCACGGUCGGGGGCAGGACCCCCAGGAGCACCACCGGACCCAUCUCUUACACAGGCUGACCGAUUUCUCCUGGUGUUCAGAGUCUGUUUUUGUCUAGCACCAUUUGAAAUCGGUUAUGAUGUAGGGGGAAAAGCAGCAGCUUCGAAGCCUCGCGCCGACUCUGGUGAGCAGCCGCCCGUGCUUUCCUGGAGGACGGAUGGGCAGAGAGAGGGGAAGGACGAUCUCGUGCUUUUCACUAACUUCUUUAACUGCAUUUAUGAUCCCUUACUGCAGAGGUAAGAGAGACCUGACUGUAUUUUGAAAAGCAAAUGGCUUUAAUGUAUCCGAUGUCCGGUCGCAUGUUGCCGAAAUGUGGGCGGUGCCGCGGAUGCUCUCAGGGGUUGCUGUUGAGUUCUCUUUCUGUGAAGAGUCCGUUCAUGCCUCCCCACCUGAAUAAAUAUUUCACUCUAGUCAACUAAUCAUCUCUUUGUUUUUCAUCCGUCAUUUCCUAUUCAUAAUUCCAUGACAAGUGGGGUCCUGGAAAGGUAACUUGCAAUGUAGAUUUAUCCACUUGCUAAGCGUUUCAGCAGGAGUCGGCAGAAGACACACGUUAAAAAAGAAGCCAGCCCAUUAGGACAAGAAUGGAAUUCCGUGGGCCAAAGGACAAAACGAGAGAAAAGAUCACAGAAAAAUGUUCAAGCCUGGGUGGAGGGAUGCUGCUUAGGGAAGGGGAAACUGAGGCUGGUUCCAAACGGCACCUCUGUGGUCCGUGAUCCUUUGAGAAAUUUUGCCCAACUGAACACACUGUGGCGUGGCUGGUAAAGGAGAGCAGCCUGAGGAUUUCCCUUCCUUUAUAAAAGCUGCAGGAGCUGUACUCGUGGUGCAGGAUCUCGAUGAGCCUGUGAGGGACAGGGCGAACCAGUUCUGGAAGGGUAUUCAGCGAUGAGCCUGAUUUGGCUUUGUGGGGGAUUAAAUCUGGGGAAUCUUCAGGUUGGAGGGCUGUGGCCCCUUGAGUGAGCAUUUUGCACCACACGUGGGGCCACCUGUGAGCUGCCGGCCAUACUUGCAUUUCACACCAGCGGUUCACAAGAAGUGAUGGCGACUCUCCUGCCCGGGGAAACCUUCCCAAGUGCGCACCCCCCAGAUAGCCGCCCUGCCCGCUGGGGUGGGGAUGGGAGGCAGCUCAGCAUGCGCUGGGAACCCUGCCCGGGGAACGUGCCG
This is a long non-coding RNA of Ailuropoda melanoleuca (giant panda), 26843 nucleotides long. RefSeq lists it as uncharacterized. Lineage: Eukaryota; Metazoa; Chordata; Mammalia; Carnivora; Ursidae. The transcript has 3 exons. The record is from RefSeq and is a predicted model, not a curated record.